AUCACUUCUCGGCCUUUUGACUAAGAUCAAGUGUAGUGUCUGUUCUUAUCAGUAAAAACGUUGGCCGUUUCUUACUUCGUAGGGAAGAACAAGUGUCCCAUUGAAGAUGAAGUGACCUGUUGAAAGUCAGGAGUGUUAUUUCAUUACACAGCAAAAGCUCUAUUCCAACAACU
Small nuclear RNA from Bison bison bison, 173 nucleotides. Its record names the gene U2. It matches the Rfam family "U2 spliceosomal RNA". Rfam says of the family: U2 is a small nuclear RNA (snRNA) component of the spliceosome (involved in pre-mRNA splicing). Complementary binding between U2 snRNA (in an area lying towards the 5' end but 3' to hairpin I) and the branchpoint sequence (BPS) of the intron results the bulging out of an unpaired adenosine, on the BPS, which initiates a nucleophilic attack at the intronic 5' splice site, thus starting the first of two transesterification reactions that mediate splicing. Lineage: Eukaryota; Metazoa; Chordata; Mammalia; Artiodactyla; Bovidae. The record is from Ensembl.